UGGGGGAUAUUGCACAAUGGGCGAAAGCCUGAUGCAGCGACGCCGCGUGGGGGAUGAAGGCUUUCGGGUUGUAAACCUCUUUCGCUAUCGAACAAGGCCCGCUUAGGGUGGGUUGAGGGUAGGUGGAGAAGAAGCGCCGGCUAACUACGUGCCAGCAGCCGCGGUAAUACGUAGGGCGCGAGCGUUGUCCGGAAUUAUUGGGCGUAAAGGGCUUGUAGGCGGCUUGUUGCGCCCGCUGUGAAAACGCGGGGCUUAACUUCGCGCGUGCAGUGGGUACGGGCAGGCUUGAGUGUGGUAGGGGUGACUGGAAUUCCAGGUGUAGCGGUGGAAUGCUCAGAUAUCUGGAGGAACACCGAUGGCGAAGGCAGGUCACUGGGCCAUUACUGACGCUGAGGAGCGAAAGCAUGGGUAGCGAACAGG
Molecule: ribosomal RNA, 420 nt
Filed under: bacterium
Lineage: Bacteria
Description: partial 16S ribosomal RNA
Rfam family: Bacterial small subunit ribosomal RNA
Source: RNAcentral